This 635-nucleotide ribosomal RNA is filed under the name uncultured bacterium. Its description in RNAcentral is "bacterial SSU rRNA". It matches the Rfam family "Bacterial small subunit ribosomal RNA", at positions 28 to 635 of the family's 1533-position model. The record is from RNAcentral.
AAUGAACGCUGGCGGCGUGCUUAACACAUGCAAGUCGCACGAGAACGCUUCAGCUUGCUGAAGCUAGUAAAGUGGCGCACGGGUGAGUAACGCGUGGGUAAUCUAUCUCUGAAUUGGGGAUAACAUUGCGAAAGCGAUGCUAAUACCGGAUGAUAUCCAUUAAACCUCGGUUUUUUGGAUCAAAGGUGGCCUCUACAUGUAAGCUACUGUUUGGAGACGAGCCCGCGUACCAUUAGCUUGUUGGUAGGGUAACGGCUUACCAAGGCAACGAUGGUUAGCUGGUCUGAGAGGAUGAUCAGCCACACUGGAACUGACACACGGUCCAGACUCCUACGGGAGGCAGCAGUGAGGAACUUUGCGCAAGGGGGGAAACCCUGACGCAGCAACGCCGCGUGAGUGAUGAAGGCUUUCGGGUCGUAAAGCUCUGUCAAGUGGGAAGAACCCGCGCCGCACAAAUAGUGCGGGGCGCUGACGGUACCACUGAAGGAAGCACCGGCUAACUCCGUGCCAGCAGCCGCGGUAAUACGGGGGGUGCAAGCGUUAUUCGGAAUCAUUGGGCGUAAAGAGCGCGUAGGCGGUCUUCUAUGUCAGGUGUGAAAGCCCGGGGCUCAACCCCGGAAGUGCACUUGAAACUG